UCCAUUAUGGCAGAAUUCAGUGCAGUGAAUUUAAGAUUCAUAUAUAAAUAUUUUAUUUUCUUGGAA
RNAcentral lists this transfer RNA (66 nucleotides) under Graptopsaltria nigrofuscata. Its description in RNAcentral is "tRNA-Leu". Lineage: Eukaryota; Metazoa; Arthropoda; Insecta; Hemiptera; Cicadidae. The record is from RNAcentral.